RNAcentral lists this ribosomal RNA (253 nucleotides) under uncultured bacterium. Its description in RNAcentral is "partial 16S ribosomal RNA". It matches the Rfam family "Bacterial small subunit ribosomal RNA", at positions 524 to 776 of the family's 1533-position model. The record is from RNAcentral.
UACGUAGGGUGCGAGCGUUAAUCGGAAUUACUGGGCGUAAAGCGUGCGCAGGCGGUGAUGUAAGACAGGUGUGAAAUCCCCGGGCUUAACCUGGGAACUGCAUUUGUGACUGCAUCGCUGGAGUGCGGCAGAGGGGGAUGGAAUUCCCGGUGUAGCGGUGAAAUGUGUAGAGAUCGGGAGGAACACCGGUGGCGAAGGCGGGUCUCUGGGCAUCUCCUGACGCUGAGGCGCGAAAGCUAGGGGAGCAAACAGG